GAUGAACGCUGGCGGCGUGCCUAAUACAUGCAAGUCGAGCGAACGGACGAGAAGCUUGCUUCUCUGAUGUUAGCGGCGGACGGGUGAGUAACACGUGGAUAACCUACCUAUAAGACUGGGAUAACUUCGGGAAACCGGCGCUAAUACCGGAUGAUAUUUUGAACCGCAUGGUUCAAAAGUGAAAGACGGUCUUGCUGUCACUUAUAGCUGGAUCCGCGCUGCAUUAGCUAGUUGGUAAGGUAACGGCUUACCAAGGCAACGAUGCAUAGCCGACCUGAGAGGGUGAUCGGCCACACGGGAACUGAGACACGGUCCAGACUCCUACGGGAGGCAGCAGUAGGGAAUCGUCCGCAAUGGGCGAAAGCCUGACGGAGCAACGCCGCGUGAGUGAUGAAGGUCUUCGGAUCGUAAAACUCUGUUAUUAGGGAAGAACAUAUGUGUAAGUAACUGUGCACAUCUUGACGGUACCUAAUCAGAAAGCCACGGCUAACUACGUG
This 497-nucleotide ribosomal RNA is filed under the name uncultured bacterium. RNAcentral's name for it is "partial 16S ribosomal RNA". It matches the Rfam family "Bacterial small subunit ribosomal RNA", at positions 28 to 507 of the family's 1533-position model. The record is from RNAcentral.